UUUUUUUUUUUUUUUUUUUAGGAUAAUGAAAAUUUAGUUACAAACCAUUCUAAUGAUAUAAAUAAAAAAGAAGAAAAAAUGAAUAACUAUGAUAUGUAUAAAAACAAUAUAACUAGUGAUGAGUAUUUAAAUAAUUUGAAAGCAGAGGAUGUAAAAAAUAUGUUUCUUAGGAAUGAAAAUUCAUAUAAAAAUAAUAAUAAUAACAAUAAUAAUAAUAAUAAUAAUAAUAGAUAUAAUUCUUCGGAGUCUGAUGUACUUCAAUCCAAUAACACAAAUAACAUGGAUAUGAAUAGGCUAUAUAACUAUGAUGUGGAUAAAAUAAAUAGCAAUUUAUCUGGUCACAACAAUGCAAAUAAAUUAAAUGAAUUGCAAGAAAAAUAUAAAAAUAAUUAUUUAUAUGAUAAAGAAUAUACUAAUCACAUGAGUGAUUUUAAAAGAACAUUAAAUAGUAAUGUUACUAAAAACAAUAAUAACAUACCAGUUUAUAAUAAUAAUGAAAAUAAUGAGAACAAAGCUAGGAAUGAACCGAGAAGUAAUUUUUUAAGCAAUCUUUUAAUGAAUAAUCGGAAUAUAAGAAAAGAUGUAGAUUUAGGAAAUGAGAAAAAAGGUAUUAAUGAGAAGGAACAUGACAUUUAUAAUAAACAUAUGUUUAAUAACGAUGUUAUUAAAAAUAAAGCUACAAAUGAAACUGAUAUAAAUAAUAAUAAAAAAAAAAAAAUUUUGGAAGAUUUGAUGAAUAUUAACAAGAAUAUUGAUAAAGAUGAAAAAAAAUUAACUUUUAAUUAUAACAAUAUAAAAAAUAAAUACUUGGAUAAUCUUUAUAAAAAUAAAAAUACAUUAAAUGUAAAAUAUAACAAUCCUUCUUCUCAACAUAGGCGUUCUAAUUCAAGCAACGUUCAUUUGGGAAGACAUGAUGUUGAAAAGGUUAAUAAGUUUUUACAUUAUGCUGAUGAUACAGAAGCUAAGAUUAGUUAUUAUAAUCCUCCUAAUCAACAUCCUAAUGACAAAGAUGGGGAUUAUAAUUCAGGGUAUGAUAACUAUUUAAAAUCAAAAAAUGAAACUAGUAACGCGUUUAUAAAUAAUAAUAUUAACAACAAUAACACUGUGCAGAAUAUUGGAGAAUUAAACAACGAUAUAAACGACACGAACGCAAAUGAAAUAAACAGGAAUUUAAAUUUUAAUGACAAAAUAAUUGUAAAUAAAGAUAACAACAUAAUUGAUGGUAAUUACAGUAACAAGAAUUUCACUACUAACAACAACAACCCUAAUAAUAUGAUUGAAAUUAAUAAUUAUCGUAAUUUUGAUUUUGACGAAUUAAAAAAGAAGCAUUUGAACCAUUUGAACAAUUUGAACAAUUUGAACAAUUUGAACAAUUUGAACAAUUUGAACAAUAAUAAUAAUGAUGUCGUUAAUAAUAACAAUAAUGAAAAGGAUACAAUGUAUGUAAAUAAAACAGACGUUGGAGCAUAUACAAAUGAUAAGAACGAAACUAAUUUCAACCUUAAUGUGAUCAACGAAAAGAACAAUACGCAACGUAUAGCAAAAAAAUAUGAUGAUAUGUUUAAUUAUGAUCAAAAUUUAAAGAAAAAAAAUGAUAUUAAAAAUAUUGUAUGUGUUUGUCAAGCAAGUAAACAAAUGGCUCGAUUACAAGUACACAUGGAAGAGAACAGACAGAUGUUAGAGACUGAAAAAAUAUUAUUAAAAAAAAAAAAAGAUAAUUUUGAAAAAAAAAUUGAGAUGCUAGCCCAAAAAGAAAAAGAAAUAGAUAAAAUUCAUUAUGAGAUUAGAGAAAAAGAAAAUAUUAUUAAUAAAAAAAUAAAUGAGGUGGAAGAAAAAGAAAAAUAUGUAAAUUCUAUAAAAAAUAAAUAUGAUAUCGCUCAGAAGGAACUUUUAGAUAAAAUGAAUGAAUGUAUAACUAUUGAAAGUAAAUGUAAAAAUAAAUUAUAUGAAUAUGAUGAAAAAUUUGGUCAAUUUAACAAAAAAAUUAAAGAGAUGGAAGAAAGAGAAAAGGAAAUAAAUAAUGAAAGAAAAGUAAUAGAACAAAAAGAAAAUAUUUUAAUUAACAACAAAAAAGAAUUGGAAGAUGAGAAGAUAUUACUUAUAAAAGAAAAAGAUGAGCUUGAUUUGUUAAAAAAAGAGUUAGAGUCUUUAGAAAAAGAAAAAAAAAAAAUAAUUGAUUGUGAAUAUAAUAAUUUGCAAAAUAAAGAAGAAGAAUUAAGAAGAAAUGAAAGAAAUUUGAUGAUAAAAGAAAAUGAAUUAAAAAAUAGGAUAGAAAAGUAUAAUGAAUUAAUUGAAGAAUUGAAUAAAAACAAAAUUGAGCUGGAAAAUAAUAAAUUAAAAAUGUUAGAUGAUUUACAAGAGGAGAAAAUGAAAUUGAUGAAUGAGAAGAAUAAUAUAAAAAGAGAAAAGGAAAAUGAAAUUAAUAAUAUGAAAGGAGAGUUACAAAAGGAAAGGUUGUUAAUGAUAGACGAUUUAGAUAAAAUGAAAAUGUUAAUGCUACAAGAUAUUGAGAAUACAAAAAGUCGUAUGUUAGAAGAUGUAGAAAAAGAAAAUAAGAAGUUAAAAAAGGAUUUCGAAAAUGAUAAACAAAUUAUGAUAAAAAAUAUAGAAAAUGAAAAAGAUAAAUAUGAAGCUUUGUUACAGGAAGAAUAUAAAGAAAAGUAUGAAAAUGAGAAAUCAAUGUUAGAGAAACAUUUUGAAGAAGAGAAUAACCGAUUACAAAACGAAAUUGAUGAUGAAAAAAAAAAACUUCAAAUGGAAAUAGAAAACUUUGAGCAACAAAAAAAAGUGUAUGAAGAAGAAUUUCAAGAUAAAUGCGAAAAAUAUGAAGAAAGUAUACAAAAAAAAUAUGAUAUGUUAGAAGAAGAAAAAAAGGAAAUGAAAUAUUUGUUAUUAAAAGAACAAGAGGAGUUAGAAAAUUAUAAAAAGAAUAUUUAUAUGGAUAUAGAAGAAGAAAAGGAUAAUUUGUAUGUACAACGAGAGAAAUUAAAUUUAGAAAAAGAGAAUUUGCUAGUAGAAAAGGAACAAAUAGAAAUUGAAUUAAAAAAUUAUAAAAAUUUUAAAGAAAAAGAAGAAAAUGAUAUUAAAAUUCGUAUUAUAAAUUUAUCACAACAGAAGGAAGAUUUAAAUAAAGAGAAACAAGAUAUAGAAAAGGAAAAAGAAGAAAUUGAAAAGAGAAAAUUGGAUUUAGAUGAAAGAGAAGCGGAAUUAAAUAAUGAUAAAGUUCAAAUAGAGGAAUCACGUAAAAUAUUUGAUGAACAGUUAGAUAAGAUAAAAAAAAAUAAAGAAGAGUUGUUAGCAUAUGAUAAGGAGUUAAAAAGUAGGGAAAGUGAAUUAAUUGAAAAGGAAAAAGAAUAUAAACGAAAAGNNNNNNNNNNACAACAAAAAGAAGAUUUAAAUAAAGAGAAAGAAGAUAUAGAAAAGGAAAAAGAAGAAAUUGAAAAAAGAAAAAUGGAUUUAGAUGAAAGAGAAGAAGAAUUAAAUAAUGAUAAAAUCCAAAUUGAAGAAUCACGUAAAAUAUUUGAUGAACAGUUAAAUAAGAUAAAAAAAAAUAAAGAAGAGUUGUUAACAUAUGAUAAGGAGUUAAAAAAUAGGGAAAGUGAAUUAAUUGAAAAGGAAAAAGAAUAUAAACGAAAAGAAGAAGAAAUGAAUAAAAAGAACGACAAAUUAAAUAAUUUAGAUAACGAUUUGAAAGAGUAUAGUGAUAAGUUACAAGCUAGAGAAAAGAAAUUAAAAGAAAAAAAAAACGAAUUACAAAAGGUGAAAGAUCAAUUAAUUAAUUAUAAAAAUAGUUUAAAACAGAAAGAAAUACAAUUUCAAACGAUUGGUAAAAGAGAAAAAGAGUUAUUAGAUGAACAGACGGUCAUUCAAAUAGAUAGAAAUAGUUUAGAAGUCGAGAAAAGACAAUUUUUACUAAUGAAAGAGAAACAUGAAAAAGAUACGGAAUAUAUACAAGAACAAUUAAAACUAUUACAUGAACAAUUAAAAAAUAAGGAAAAAUCUCUUAAAGAAAAAGAAAAUGAAGUGAACUUAUUAAAUAAAUUACAAGAUUGUAGAAGUAAAACUGGAAAAGGUGGUAUUAUAUCCUUGAAAAAUUUAGAUAAUAGAAAAUUCAGUUCUAAUAUAGGCAAAAUAAAUAAUCCUAAAGCUAAAGUGAAAGAAAAAAUGAUUGGUAAAAAUAAAUUUGAUUUAAUAAGGAGGAACAGAAAAAAAAGUAUCAAUUUUAAUUAUAAUAACCUUGAAAUUAAUAAUAGUAUUCAAUAUAUAGAUAGUAUGAUAAAUGAAAAUUUUAAAAAUAAAGCAUUUUUAAAAAAUAACAAUAAAAAUUUAGGUUUAUCAGAAGAUAGAUUAUCAAUAGAAAAUGAAAAUAGUAUUAAUAAUGAUAAUACUACUAAUCAUAUCGAAUAUAAAGGUGUAAAUAAUAUGUUAUCAAACUAUAAUAAUAAUUCGGUAUUAUUUGAUGAUGGUAGUAAUGUUGAGGGGGUAUAUAACAAUAUAAACGAUAAGCAUAAUCAAAACCAAAACCAAUCAGGUAAUGGUAAACAAAAUACUAUGACUGAUAGUGCGAUGAAUUUGAAGAACACUUCAGGAUAUACUAACUCUAAUAGUAAUGAUAAUAAAUUAAAUAGCAACAAUCCGAAUUUGGGUAAUGGUGGUGGUGUUGUUAAUGGCGAAAACCAUAACUUGAUGAUUGAUAGCAUAGAUGGUAGCAUCAUUAAUGAUAUAACUGUUAAUAUGAAUUCGAAUAUGACAUCUAAUAUGAAUUCGAAUAUGACAUCUAACAUGAAUUCGAAUAUGACAUCUAAUAUGAAUAGCAAUAUGAAACCUAAUGUAAAUGAUAACAUAAAUUAUAAUAGCGAUUACAGUAACAGAUUAAACAGCAGAACUAAUAAUUAUAAUAAGAAUCAAGAUCACCGUACAUUUUCUAGAAACUACCUUGAAAAGAAUCAAUUCAAUUCUAAUAAGAAUUACGAUGGAUAUGAUAAUAAUGAUAAUAUUAGUUUAAAUAAUGGAGAUAACAAUAAAUAUAAUUUUAACAAUAUGCGGUCUAAUAUGAAAAUAGAAAAAGACAAUUAUAAUGAAGCAUUAAAUAGUAAAAAUGGUUCACAUCAUGGGGGUGUAAAUUAUAUAGAUAAUAAUGAACAAAAAUAUAACAACAUUGUAUCAUCAUUAAAUGUGAAUAAUUUAAUUGAAUCGGAUAUUAUUGAUGCAAAAAGUAAAUAUGAUUAUAUAUCUGAUCAACGAAAUAACAAAUAUGGCGUUGACAAUAAGAAUAAUAACAUGUUUGAUAAAUAUGAACAUAAUGAUGUAGAUAUAACAGAAUACGACACCUUUGGAAAUAAUGAAAAUAAUAAUAAAGACAUGGUUAAUAUUAAUAAUAUAAAUAAAAACAUUAAUUGUAUUAAUAAUAAUGUAGAUAAUAUAAAUAAUAAUAUAAAUGAUAUAAAUAAUAACAUACAUAAAAUGAGUACGAAUGUAAGUGUAAGUAAUAAUUUGAAUAAGAACAUAAAGAAUAAUGAUGAGACCAGUAGUGGUAAUCAAAGAAAAAAAAAAAAUAAUAAUAAUAAUAAUAAUAAUAAUGCAACAUGUAUGAAUAAUGAUAAUAUAAAUAAUAAUAUUAAUACCAAUAUGAAUUACGUGAAUGAUAACAAGGCAAGCAUAAACCAAAAAAAUCAGUCAUCCUUAAAUCGAAUUGAUAGCAUAGUUAAUCAGAAUAUGCAAUCUAUGAAUCAUAUGUCCAGUUUGAUGCUAACAACUAAGAAAAAAACUAGUGGUAGUAGAAAAAACGACGUUAACAAUAAUGUGAACAGUAAUAUGGCUACUAACCAAAUAGGGAAUAAAGAAACAAAUCAUAUAAACAACCUGAACAUGUUAAAAGCUUUAAAUAAAAAUAGGAAUAAUAAUAUUAUGUUUAAUGAUGGAAAUGACACAUUAAAAAAAGAAAACAAUUUAAAUGAGUUUUUAGAAGAAAUAGGUUCUGAAGAACACAAUUAUAAUACUGCUAAUACUUUUGUUAAUAAUAAUCUUAUUAAACCUAAGGUUAUCAAUAGAACAGAUAGUGAUGUGUAUUAUACUAUGGAUAAUUCAUUAAAUGAUAAAAAUAUGAACGAUUCAUAUGAAUAUCAAAGCAAUCUUAGUUAUAAUAUGAUAGAUGAAAACGACAAAAAAUCAAUAAUGUUUGCAGGUAAUAAUAACAAUAUGAAUAACAAUAUGAAUAAUAAUAUGAAUAACAAUAUGAAUAANNNNNNNNNNAUGAAUAACAAUAUGAAUAAUAAUAUGAAUAACAAUAUGAAUAAUAAAAAUGACACAGGUGCUGGUAAUAAUGUUAAAAAAAACACCAUGCAUAACGGUUUUAUUAACAAUAGGAUGGGAAAAAUGCAACAAAAUAUUGAUAUUUCUUUAGUACCUAUGCAUAAUAAUAAUGUGAAAAGGAUUUCAGAAAGUGGAUAUAACAGCGAUAGUAACUUAAUACUCAGUCAUUAUAGCUUGAUGAAUGAAGAAGAAAAUUUUAAAAACCUUAAUAUAAACGGUAUGAAUUAUGAUCAAGAUCAUAAACUGAAAAUGCGUAAUAAUAGUAGUAAUAUAUAUAACAAUAACAGUCAUUGUAAUAAUAGUAAUAAUAUACUAUAUAACCAUGAUAAUCAAGCUUAUAAUAAUAACAAUAAUAAUCUUAACAAUAACGUAAAAAAUAAUAUUGCUUAUUUUAAUAAAAUGAUGGAUAAUGAAAAAAACAUGAAAAAUAUAAAACAGGAUCACAUAGAAGAUAAUUAUUAUGUAGAUAAAAAAAACAAAAUGGAAUCAAAAGAUGCAUUUUAUGAACAAGCAAAAAAUAAUAUAAACAAUAACAAUUCUAAAAAUAGAAUGAAUCUUCCAAUGAAUAGAGGAGAAGAAGAAGAAGAAGAAGAAGAUAACAAUAAUACUAUGAUGAUAAACGAAAUGAAAGACGGAAAUAAAAAUAAUAGUAGUAAACGAUCAAAUAUGCAUAACGAAAUAGUACAUUUAAAAGAAGGUAAUAAAGACAAAAAAAUGUAUAAUGAAGAACAUGAUAAUUACGUUAACAAAAAUUAUAAUAUAAACAAUAAACAAGCCUCAAAUAAUAUGAAAAAUAUGAGUGCAAAAGGAAAUUACCCCAAUGAAAAUAAUAAUUUAAAUAUGCUAAAAAAGAUGAAUAGUUAUAAUAAAAAUAAAAUGGUAGACAGAAAUGCAUAUAAAAAUAAUGCAAACAUGGUAGGCAUAAGAGAUUUCAUGAAAGAAAUGCAAAAUGAUAAAAACAGUAACACUAAGUAUAGCAACCAAAACGGAAAUAACAAAAAUAAUAGUUACAAUAAUAAUAAUGACAAUAACAGUGACGUAAGUUAUAACAAUAAAUAUGUAAAUUCAAAAAAUGCUUCUAACACAGGUUUACAAGGACGGGGUAAUCAUAUAAUAGAACAGUUAGACAAAACCUUAAUGAAUAAAUCAAUUAUUAUGAAUAAAAAUAAGCAAAAAUUUGAUAAAAAAUGAUGCAUGUG
Long non-coding RNA from Piliocolobus tephrosceles (Ugandan red Colobus), 7511 nucleotides. Lineage: Eukaryota; Metazoa; Chordata; Mammalia; Primates; Cercopithecidae. The record is from Ensembl.